GAUUUUUGUGACGACAUUUGCCGAAAAUUUCGCUUGCCGAAAAUUUCGCUCAAUAAAAGAAGCGAAAUUUUCGGCAAAUGUCGUCACAAAAAUC
Molecule: non-coding RNA, 94 nt
Organism: Paramuricea clavata
Lineage: Eukaryota; Metazoa; Cnidaria; Anthozoa; Malacalcyonacea; Plexauridae
Source: the annotation of a GenBank genome assembly